Molecule: ribosomal RNA, 421 nt
Filed under: uncultured bacterium
Lineage: Bacteria
Description: partial 16S ribosomal RNA
Rfam family: Bacterial small subunit ribosomal RNA
Source: RNAcentral
AAUAUUGGACAAUGGGGGCAACCCUGAUCCAGCCAUGACGCGUGUGUGAAGAAGGUCUUCGGAUUGUAAAGCACUUUACGUUGGGAGGAAGGGCUUUAGGCUAAUACCCUGAAGUAUUGAAGUUAACAACAGACUAAGCACAGGCUAACUCUGUGCCAGCAGCCGCGGUAAUACAGAAGGUGCAAGCGUUAAUCGGAAGUAAUGGGCGUAAGGCGCGCGUAGGUGGUUCAGUAAUAUUGGUGUGAAAUCCCCGGGCUUAACCUGGGAACUGCUUUCAUAACUGCUGAGCUAGAGUACGGUAGAGGGUAGUGGAAUUUCCUGUGUAGCGGUGAAAUGCGUAGAUAUAGGAAGGAACACCAGUGGCGAAGGCGACUACCUGGACUGAUACUGACACUGAGGUGCGAAAGCGUGGGGAGCAAAC